GUUGAUCAUGGAAACCAUCUUUAUAUUGCUUACCUGAUUCCCAACGGAAACGUGUGUAAAUAAAGAAUGGGAGACUGAACAGAAAUUGGCGAUCAUCUGGGAAGCCCUAUCCAAACUUGAGAUUCUCAACCCCUUCUGUGCACACCAGUGGCCACCCAGCCUGUUCUCACUGAGAGCACACACCCAAACUUCUUCAUAGGAAGGGUCUGCUGGGAACCAAGACUUGGAAAACACAGGGAUUUGCCCUGCGGGAAACAGCCAGCCUGGCAAACCUACACUCGUUCCUGAUUGCUGCUUCAGGCUGUGCUAAAUGAACCCUUGGGAAUGAAUACACAGAUUCCACGUGUAAGCUAAAGGAAGGAACAUCAAGCCUGCAGGAAAACUGACUCAAGAAUUCCUCCAGAAUUUCAUUCUCUUGCCACGCUCCCCAUUUCCCUACGGACACUUGUCAUCAUGUCAGCCCGGGUUCUAGGUUCUAUCUACCACACAAGGCCUUGGCCCAUUCUGCGUGUACUGGGCCCUGCCCAAAGCCUUGCCUGCCUCUGCCUUGCUCUUCUUAAAGCUAAACUAGACUUGGUCCUUUCCAUUCCAAAAUUAGCUUUCUUCUCCAAGGUUGGCACCUCCCUCUCACUCUGGGGCAACCCAAGUGAGACACUGGCAUAGACCUGAACCAUUGUUUCCAGGGGAGAGGAAGAAGGGAGAGGGCUUGGGAGCCUGGCUGCCCUAGAUUCAAAAGCAACCACUAGUUAGCUGUAUGACUUUUGGGAAUGUGUUGCCACUUCCAAGGCUCCAUUCCUUCUGGAGCAUUGGGGAUAUGAUCGAUUUUGAGGGCUUGCUGUCAAGGGAAAUGGGAAGGUGAAGGCUGAGCCUGAAAUGGAGAGCAGGCACUAUUGGGCUGAGAAGUCACACGGUUCCCCUGCCAGGGGAGCUGUCAACUCUCCUUGAUUCGGGAUGGGCAUGGAGACCAACUCCUUUCUGCUGUCAAUGACACUCAGCCAUAGAGCCCACGGUGGGCCUUUUCUGGAUUUCUACACUCCCCUGCCAAGAUGUCACCGAAGUGUCGCCAUUCUACAAAUGAUCGCUUUCACGUUCUCAGACAAAGCAGCUACACGUG
This is a long non-coding RNA of Echinops telfairi (small Madagascar hedgehog), 1114 nucleotides long. RefSeq lists it as uncharacterized. The transcript is spliced from 3 exons. The record is from RefSeq and is a predicted model, not a curated record. NCBI's taxonomy places the organism in Eukaryota, Metazoa, Chordata, Mammalia, Afrosoricida, Tenrecidae.